CAAAGGUCGGCCCAUGACUCUGCUCAUGACCGAAGGCCGAUGCCGCGCUUUUCUGUUUGAAUGUGGACGGUUAUUUAUCUCUUAGCAACCCACCAGAGAGAAGGCGACUCAUCCGGGAUAUCUGUGGUUUCAGGAGUUGCCAUGGAAACAGGGCGGCAACACAACACCUGACAGGAAAACUCGGUCUCUCGCUAAUGUUGUCACUGCUUUUAGGAGGACAGAAAUAAACCCUCCACAACAGAUGGGAAGCUACAAGGUUUCAAAAUUUCUUAAGGGAGCUGCUGACAGCAGGAAAU
Molecule: long non-coding RNA, 296 nt
Organism: Labeo rohita (rohu)
Lineage: Eukaryota; Metazoa; Chordata; Actinopteri; Cypriniformes; Cyprinidae
Exons: 3
Source: RefSeq, a predicted model, not a curated record